GGCUUAGAGUUUGAUCAUGGCUCAGGAUAAACGCUGGCGGCGCACAUAAGACAUGCAAGUCGAACGGAAGUCGUUAUAAAAGGAUUGAAGAUUUAUCAGAUUGAAGUUUAUAACAAUGGCUUUAGUGGCGGACUGGUGAGUAACGCGUAAGCAAUCUACCUAUUAGAGGGGAAUAACAAUGAGAAAUCAUUGCUAAUACCGCAUAUGCCAUAGUGAAGGCAUCUUCAUAGUGGGAAAGGAGAAAUCCGCUAAUAGAUGAGCUUGCGUCUGAUUAGUUAGUUGGUGAGGUAAUGGCUUACCAAGACGACGAUCAGUAGCCGGACUGAGAGGUUGAACGGCCACAUUGGGGCUGAGAUACGGCCCAGACUCCUACGGGAGGCAGCAGUCGGGAAUAUUGCGCAAUGGAGGAAACUCUGACGCAGUGGCGCCGCGUAUAGGAAGAAGGUUUUCGGAUUGUAAGCUCUAUCAGCAGGGAAGAAGAAUGACGGUACCUGACUAAGAAGCUCCGGCUAAAUACGUGCCAGCAGCCGCGGUAAUACGUAUGGAGCAAGCGUUAUCCGGAUUUACUGGGUGUAAAGGGAGCGUAGGCGGUGCUAUAAGUCUGAUGUGAAAGCCCGGGGCUCAACCGCGGGACUGCAUUGGAAACUGUAGGACUGGAGUGUCGGAGGGGUAAGUG
This 676-nucleotide ribosomal RNA is filed under the name uncultured organism. Its description in RNAcentral is "bacterial SSU rRNA". It matches the Rfam family "Bacterial small subunit ribosomal RNA", at positions 1 to 663 of the family's 1533-position model. The record is from RNAcentral.